GAAGGAAGUGGGCCCCUUCUCUCUUCCUCCAGAGUCACCAUGUGAUCCCGGGAUGAGGACGCCAAUGGCAGGUGUCUGAUAAGAUAAGUCUUAUAAAAUAUAUAGAUUUAUGAUAAUUAAGAAUGAGCUAACAGAUGAGAAUCCUAGUCAUUGGCCAAGCAGCAUUUGUACCUAAUAUAAGUCUCUGUGUAUUAUUUGGGGCCCUAACUCGGCGGGCAGAACUCAGGAGGCUGGUGGAAAGUACCCACGUGGCGGUAGGGCUCGGGCGGCUUUUGGCGGAAAGAUUUAUUGUAACACGCUUCCUUUGGGUUAGCUCUACACUUCCUCCCAUGAUUUCCCUCAUACUUAACCUCCUUCCUGCUUAAGCCUUUCUGCCCCUAGUAUUCUUCCUCCAUACUUUUGGUUGACCUGCAAUCUGCUUAAUGUGUCCCCCACUGAAGGCCCCUUUCUAGUUUUCCAGCUUCAAAUUAAACACAAAAUAAAGGUUAGAAGUUGAGAUCUGCAUACAAUAGCAAGCAUACGGCGUUUAUUUUUCUGGAUCUAAGUAAAAAAACUCAUCUAGUUUAACUUUUUUCCAGUUCUAUCCUUUCACCUGCAAAUUUUGUGAUUUCAUUUUUCUUUACUGCCCAGUAAUAUUCCAUUGUGCACAAGUACCAUGUUUUUCUUAUCCAUUCAUCUGUUGAUGGGCAUCUAGAUUGCUCCCAUUUCCUAGUGAAUAGGGCAGCCUUGUACAAGUCCGUGCAAGAAUGUACAAGGGAGCCAAGUUUUUUUUUUUUAAUUUUGAACCAGGACAACUAUGAAACUAUGUUUAACACUUAACUGUUUUCAUGUUAUUAUUUAACGACUCAAGAUUGGAUUUAAUUGAGACUCCAUUCUCUCAUCUUCAUAAGGGUAUAUGGAACCUCAUUCAUUUUGUGGGUAUCCCAUAAUCAAGGGUCUGUUUUGGCUUCUUGACUUCUGCUGCAGGAAGCUGAUCAUCAAAGCCAUACGGCUGGAAGGCAGGAGAUUGCAUUUGCCUCAAGUUCUUACCCAACAAGCUUCAUGAGUUUGGACAUGACACACGGUCAUUCCACACCUCAGACUCCUCAUUAUUCCGAUGAAGUGAUUAAACUGUCUUCCACAUGACUCCUUGUAGCAAUGUCAUCUUAGUAUCCUCUGACUUGGAGGUUUUUAUUAGAAACAGGUUUAUUUAUAAAUCAUUAAUACAGUUCUACCCAGUGGCUACUCAGUAUCUGCACAGCCCAAAGCUUUUAAUAACUAGGUAACCCUCUGGGCCUGUGCUCAAUAGACGAUGGCUCCCUACUUUGUGUGGGCUAAAAAUGGCCACACUGCUUUGAAAUUCGUGCCAUUUGAGAGGUGGCAUCUGUUUCUCUUCUCCUGGAUUCUGUGCUUGCUUUAUAAUGUACUGUGUGUCACAAAGUGAUGCAAAAAGGGGUGAAACCUCCAAGUAAAAGGAAAAAGGUGACACAUUUAUUUCUAGUACUUGGGAGGCAGAGGCAGGUGGAUCUCUGUGCGCUCAAGGUCAGCUUGCUCUGCACAGUGAGUUCCAGGACAUCUAGAGCUACACAAUGAAACCUUGCCUUGAAUAAAACCAAAAUCCCAAACCCUAAAACCAGAAACCCCAAACCAAACCAAACCAACCCAACCAACCAACCAAACAAAAUAAACAAAAAGGAAAAGUAUAAACAUCUUGUACUUUCAGUUUUAUCCUGUUUGAAUUUAUGUUAGCUAGACCUAUGGCAAUUCAGUCCAAAGCCUUGGCCAACUUCAGAACAUACGCAUGAGGCCACCUGUGCUAAACACUUUUCAUUUCUGCAAUGAAAUGCUAGAGAUAAUAAGCCCAUAAAUAGAAAAGGGUUAAGUGCCUCACAGUUUGGGGCUUCUAGUCAACAGUAUCCAACCUUUGACAUUGCCGUAUGAUUUCAUCUACAAAUGUGUUGGGUCUCACCCACAGCUGUCCUGGGAGGCAAGCAGCCUGUGGGCUGGACACUCCUGUUCCACUCAAUGAUCAUAGGUCUUGGCAAGAGCACAUUGUGAAGUAAAACAAUUCACAUCUGGGCCACAUAGGGCUCAGGUUCCAAAGUGCCCUCCCAGGGUUUCCAGUCCUCAGUAUAAAGUCUCUUCAUGGGGAAACUGUUGGGGACAGAGGCAAAAAUUGUAGACUUUAGAAUGAAACAAAUGUGUGAUGUAUUCCAUAAUAGUUCCCACAGGUGUUUGAAUUUCCAGAACACUUUUAAUCUUGCUUGGACUUGUUUCCUACAUCUGGAAAGUGAGGGUUAUGACAUCUGUCUUGGAAGACUGUGAUGAAAUGGGGCAAACAGUUAGAGAUACUAUAUCCCUGCCCAUGGCCCUGCCCAUGGCCCUGCCCACUGCACAUGAUGCUUUGGUUUUUUGUUUUUAUUUUUUUCCCAAUGCAACAAUUAAAACAUGUCAGCUUACAAGUCAAUGCUGGUCAUGUUUCAGCGGCACUGAACACUUUAGAGCCUUUUAGAAAUGGGGGUAGCAAGCCACAUUCCUAUGGAUACUAACUUAAUUUGAAAUCUAGACUAGAGAAAUCUAGACUUUCUAUCAAAUAGUUUCAUGCUAAUUUCUUGAAAGUUUCUCUCUCUCUCUCUCUCUCUCUCUCUCUCUCUCUCUCUCUCUCUCUCUCUCUCUCUCUUCUCUCUUGAGAUGGAGUCUAACCUCUCUGUCUAGUCUGUCCCCAAACACUAGAGCUCCAGUGGUCCUCCUGCCUCAGCCUCCAGAGUAGCUGGGACAAACAGGUGCACACCACUCUUCCUGACUUGAAAGUAUGAAGUGUAACAACUUAACAACUCCUAAAAAGGACAUUUUAAGCAUGUAAGCAUGCUGCUAUUUUGGCUGGAGGCUAGUUUCAAUGACUUUCUUCAAAGUAAGAAAACAAUGAAUGAGAACUACAACUAGAAACCAAUUCCAUCAAGCAGGAAACCCCUGCUUUUCUACUGUCUGUCUCUUCCCCCCUCUCCCCUCCCCCUCUCCCUUUCCUUCUCUCUCUCUUUCCCUUCUAUCUGUGUCUGUGAGACCAAUUCUUUCCCAUUCAAAAAGUGAGGGAAACUCAAGAUGUGUAUGGAAGGAGAAAAGAUUGCUAUGUCCGUGUCACUUAUUUACAUGGAAGUCGUGGCUGGCUGAGUCAUUUUGUUGCCAGCUGUCUGUGAAUUAGCCAGAAUGAGAUUGCCCAAGGUCAAUUAGUUUCCAGGAAGCAUUUUAAGUCUAUCCAUUGAGAAGCAGGCAGACUUUCAUUCCACUGUGGCUGUAGGGUCUCUGGGGCCCAAGGCCUGGAUGCGGCAUGGCUUCCUUCUUCACACCGCAAUUUCCCAACCAACCACAUCAUCGUCACUCAUGCAUGUCUUUCUUGUGUAAGGAAUUCCUGGGGUCAGGAGUUCCCAGAGGCAGGCGAUGGGUCCCAUUGGCUUGAACUCGGGGUUGCUCUGCACAGGGCUGAUGGGUCUUGUUGUUUGAAUGCAGUGUUGCUCUACACAGUCUGAUGGGACUCAUUGGCUUGAACACAGGAGUUCUCUGCACAGGGCUAAUGGGCUUGAAUAUGGGGUUGCUUUGCAUAGGGCUGAUGGGACCUUCUUGAACAUCUGGUUCCAGCUGAAAUAGCCACUGUUGUGGCAGCUGUUCAUGCUGCUCUUUUACACCAUGGACUUAAUCUCCUCACUGUUUCUGGCUGACACAAAACCAGUAGCUUCCCAACUGUCACAGCUCUGCUUUUCCAGGCAGAAGGGACUGUUAUGAAUUUCCUGAGAGGAGGGGACUUUUUUUUUUUUUUGUUUUGUUUUGUUUUUUGAGACAGGGUUUCUCUGUGUAGCUUUGGAGCCUAUCCUGGCACUCACUCUGGAGACCAGGCUGGCCUCGAACUCACAGAGAUUUGCCUGCCUCUGUCUCCCGAGUGCUGGGAUUAAAGGCGUGCACUACCAACAUCCGUGGAGGAGGGGGCUUUUUAUUUUUUAUUUAUUUUUACAUACUAAUCCCAGUUCUCCUCCCUCCUGUCCUCCUGCUCCCCCUACUUUCUGAUCACCCCCGCUUUGUUCCUCAGAGAGGGUAAGGUCUCCCAUGGAGAGUCAAUGAAGUCUGUGUAUCACCUUGUUGAGGUAGGACCAACCCCCAUCCCCCUUGUCCAGGCUGAGCAAGGUAUCUCUCCAUAGGAAAUGGGCUCCAAAAAGCCAGUUUAUGCCUUAGGGAUAGAUUUGGUCCCACUGCCCAAGUCACCCACUGUCACCUGCAUUCAGGGGAGGAAGGAACUUUUUAUUCAGCAACUCCCGAGUUUGUCUACACUGGAAAUUCAUUCUGAACUGGUGGAGACAGCUGCUGACCAACAAAGUUGGUCAGUGUGUGGUGUACUCUGUAAGCUGGUGGCAAAACUGCCUCAAUUCAUUCCUGAAUCCAUGAAUUCUGAUGCCACAAACUCUGCUGACAUUUGGCCCCUUCCUCUUCCCUGAGCUUCAGGUGUUUGUUUUUAGGGCUCAUCAGCUUCUCAUACACCCUCUAUCAUUUAAUGAAACUUUCACUUCAAAGUCUAGUUGCAAGUAUGUCUAAUCCGUGGUCUAUGGGCUGCCUGCAUCCCAGGAGAGCUGUGAAUGUGGUUCAAUUCAUUCAUAAAUAACAGCACUUGUCACAGAGUCAACAAGGUGGACACUCCUGCCAGUAGGAGGGUGCUGGUGCCUCUGUCUUUUUAUUUCUCUCUUUCUUUCUUUCUUUCUUUCUUUCUUUCUUUCUUUCUUUCUUUCUUUCUUUCUUUCUUUCUUUCUCCCUCCCCUCCUUCCCCUCCCUCCUCUCCCUCCCCUCCCUCUUUCUCUUUCUUUCUUUCUUUCUUUCUUUCUUUCUUUCUUUCUUUCUUUCUUUCUCCCUCCCCUCCCUCCUCCCUCCCUCCCUCCCUCUCCCUCCCCUCCCUCUUUCUCUUUCUUUCUUUCUUUCUUUCUUUCUUUCUUUCUUUCUUUCUUUCUUUCUUUUUUCCUGAGACAUGGUUUCUCUAUGUAGCCCUGGAUGCCCUAGAACUCACUCUGUAGACCAAUUUGGCCUCAAACUCACAGAGACAGCCUGUCUCUGGUGGGAUUAAAGGUGUGGGCCACCACCGCUGGGUUCAUUGUCCUUUCUUAAUUGGUAGAAGAAUUUGAAGCUCCUGUGUUCAUAACACACAUGGUGAAUGAUAUUAAUCCCGCUGCCUCAUGCACGAGUUUAGUUGCUAGCUUUUAGCCUGCUUGUGUCCAGUCAGCUGACAAAUCUGUCCCUGUAUGGUAGAAAGGUUGGGAUAGGUCGUGAGGUGGGACUAUUUCCCUGUGAUUCUGGAGUCAUAGCUGCACACCAGUGACGUGCACGGCUGCCAUGCCCUCUAACUCCCUGUGCUGCUGUCGCUGCCAGUGCUGCGGGACUCCUCCAUGGCCCAGGCACCACCCUGUGGUUGGGACCCCAUGGCUACCUAUCCUUAAACUAUAGUUAGAUAGCUCAUUGUCAUUUGGAUGUGCACUUCCCAGACAUCUAAUAAAACUGAACAUUUUCCAUAAAUUUACUAACCAUUUGAAUUUCUUCUCUUCACAAUUGUCUAUGUCCUUGGUCUAUUUUGAGGUUAUAUUAUAUACCUUUUUUUGGUCCACUGACUUAAAGUUACUUUUAUAUUUUUUCUUCUUUUCUUGGAGCCCUUGAUAUCAGAUCCAGGGCCUUGCUAGGCAAGUGCUCUACCCCUGAACCACACACCCAGUUCUCUCUCUAUCCAAUGAGCCUUUCCACAGCCCCUGGGCCCACUCUCCACUGCUUCAUCUCUUUGCAGCUCAGCAGCUCCUCGCGUGACACCAUCUGUCCAUGUUUGCUUUUGGGUUGUUAACCAGAAAAUCUGUUCCCAAACCAACAUCUUGAACUGCUUGCCCUGAGCUUUCUGCUGGUGGCUUUACAAGGUUCAGGCUGGUCUUUAAGGCUUUGAAGAAAAUGGAUUCCUGUCUCAUUGAGUUAUUCUCUAUAAUUGAGAGAUGCUCAGUGUGCUUUCCUAAAAUCCGGCAAAUAUUUCCCAAAGAAAACUAGGACCAUUUAUCCCUGCUCUUUCCACUUGUAACAACACAGGAAGGUUUUCUAAGGUUUAAUGGUGAUUAUCUUGAGAAAAGGAACAUCUUGAAUCUGUAAGGCUAGUUUUGCUUUGAUUUAUUUGGGAUUUAAGCUUGUAGGAUAAACACAUUUGAGAAGCUUCAUGCUCAUUCUGCAUUAUGGAAUGCGUCUCUUCCAGUUUCAUUUUUCUGCUAUUUAGUUUUGAGAGGCAUCUUUUAGGCUAUGGACCAUAUUAGGUCCCACAUCCUAAAAUAGAGCAGGAUGCGUAUGGUGGUGGGAGGUACCUCUGCCUGGCUUGCUGUGUCUUCCUGGAUGGCAAUAGGCCAUCUCUGCAGGCUCUGUGACAUAGCACAGGCUGGAGGUAGGCCCUCCUCGAGGUUGUGAGCCACCUUCUGCAGGAAUUUGUGCCAUAUCGCCAGAGCCAUGCUGCAGCAUGGCACAUGCCGGGCUCUUGGGAGACAGCCCCACCUUGUCCAUCUGCUUUUUCACUCGUACCCAUCCUUUCUUCUGUCAAAAGAACCUUCCAGUGCAUGAAAAUCCCUGAUUUUCCAGCACAGAGACAUGACAUAAAAAUUUGAAUGAAUACCUUAGUUUUCUGUACUUGACUGUAUUGACAUUCAGCAGUGGCCAAGACAAAUGGCUGCCUGCAAGGAUUCCAGCAGCCACCACCAUCUCUGUCCCCCUCUGCUUCAUGCUCUGCCCUUUCCUUGUACAGGCUGUGACUUUCUGGGGUGGCCCUAGGAGACACAGACUUCCCUUCUUGCAGGAGAGAGAGAGGGAACAUGGAACAGAGGAUGGCAGUUGCCAUUAUGCCCUACACAAAGUAUUUUACUCCACAAAGUCAUACAUCCAAGUUAUUUAUUUAUUUAUUUAUUUAUUUAUUUAUUUAUUUAUUUGAGACAGUCUCACUAGGUAGCUCUGAUUGGUCUGGAAUUCAGGGUCCUCCUACCUCAGCCUUCCAGGUGUUGGGAUCAGUGGCACACAACUCCACACUUGCUAUAACAUUCAAGGUUUUUUUUUUUUCCCUUUGAGAUAGUGUUUCUUUGUGUAAUAGUCCUGGCUAUCCUGGAACUCGACCACACUGGCCUUCAACCCUCAGAGAUCCACCUGCCUCUGCCUCCUGAGUGCUGGGAUUAAAGGCGUGUGCGCCACCACUGCCUAGCUGCUUGCCACAUUUCUUACAGAAAGUCCUUCGGUUAUUAGGUAUAUUGACUGACAGUCUUUGCAGUGGAGGUGUCUAUGCUAUGAAAAUGAGAGACCCAGCAUCUGCGGUUGCCAUCUCCUGCCGCUUGUGCCAACAGAGAGACAUUCAAACUUUAAAUUUAACUCUUGUAAAAUUAUUGACCUUACAAUGAGGGAUAUUGGAGAUUCCAAAAAUUUCUGCUUUCUUCAUUUUGACAGGCUUGGGUUUCUGAAGGCUGUCUAGGGGCAUUGAAUAAUGUAUGCUUUCCAGGGAUGGGACCCAUGGGGCAUAUACUCGAUGGAGUCCUAAGAGUCUUUUGAGUUGUGGGGAGGAGAGAAGGAGUUAUGAGAAAGAGAAGGGGAGAAGAGAAGGGGAGAGGAGGACAUGAGGGAUCAGGAAAUUUGAGUCAGGGGAAGAAUAGAGGAGAGCAAGAAAAGAGAUACCAUAAUAGAGGGAGCCAUUAUAGGUUUAAAGAGAAAUCUGGCACUAGGGAAAUGUCCAGAGAUCUACAAGGAUGACACCAACUAACAAUCUAAGCAUGAUUACUUUAUAUGCCAUUCUAGAGCCUUUAUCCAGUAGCUGAUGGAAGCAGAAGCAGACACCCACAACUAAACACUGCACAGAACUCCUGAAAUCCAGUUGCAGAGGGAGGAGUGAUGAGCAAAGGGGUCAAGACCAGGCUGGAGAAACCCACAGAAACAGAUGACCUGAACAAGGGGGAGCUCAUGGACCCCAGAUUGAUAACUGAGAACCCACCCUGACCCCCUGAUCAUGGUGUCAGUUAGGAGGCCUGGACAAUCUAUGGGGCCUCUGGCAGUGGAUCAGUGUUUAUCCCUAGUAUAUGAAUGGACUUUGGGAGCCCACUCCACAUAGAGGGAUACUCUCUCAGCCUAGACACACGGGGGAGGGCUUAAGCCCUGCUCCAAAUGAUAUGACAGACUUUAAUGACUCCCCAUGGAAGACCUCACCCUCCCUGGGGAGCAGAAAGAGGAUGGGAUAGGGGGUUGGUGGAGGGGGGGCAUGGGAGGAGGGGAGGGAGAGGGAACUGGGAUUAACAUGUAAAACAAGCUUGUUUCUAAUUUAAGUAAAAAAAUCUGAAAAAAAUGACAGCCAAAAAAAAAAAAAGAGGUGGCUUCCCACCCUGAGGGCUCAGAGGAUGAGCCACCAUCGUCUCUCUGCUUCAAGCUAGAGGGUAGGUCUCUGUGAGAGGUAGAGGGUGUGAUCCACACUCCCCAUGCCAUGGCAGGAAGCUCAGCAGCUGACACCUGCAAUCCAACCAUGGAAAAGCAUGGAUGUGCUCGCUCCCUUAUGUCUGCGGUGUCUUUGAACAUCACACCGGGAUGUGGUCAUGCACAAAUCUGCUUGCAUUCUUGUGUGCCUAGGUGCACGAGCGCUAGUGAAGGCAAGUGUUGAAUUUGUGUCUGCCUAGACCAGUCUAUGGCAUGUCUUGAAGAAUGCAAAAACCACACACUUUUGUAGACUCUACCAGCUGCUGUCCCUCCUACCCCCUUCCCUCCCCACAUCCAGCAGCAAGCACUUUGGCCCAGCUGCCUUGCUGGAAUGCUCUUUUGGAACAUUUAAAAAAAAAAAGCAUUUGGAAGGCCUUGUAAGAGAGGCAUUGGAAGUUCAUCACAGAUUAUUUGUAGUAAGAAUUCUUCAGGGAGAUGGGGGCUCUGAGGUACUGGCAACAUUUUUCCCUUUUAAAAGUAAACAAGACUCCAUUUUCUCCAGUAUUCAGCCUGUUGUUCUUUCCUCUCCCUUGUAAUCAUCCUGCAAAUGGACUCCCAAGGUCCAGAUGGGCAGGCAUGGGGCCCUUUCUGUGUGUGAUACACACAGGACCUGUGAGAAAGCUCACCAAGCCCCAAGGAAAGGAGGCUCUGAGGGGACCCAGGUUCAGACCCAAUCUGGAUUGCUUCCUGCUGUUAAUUCUUGUCUACUCAGUGAUCCAAAUGAACAGGUGAUGCUCCUGCUUGGCUGCAGUAGUCACGCUAAGCUGUGUGCAUCCACGUUCGUGCAGGUGUGUGCACACAUUGUGUGUGUUGUGUAAGUGAAUAGAAGCAAAGACCAUUGCCAUCAUCCUUUAGAAAGUGGAGGUGACUGUCCCAUGUAGCACCUGUAAGCUCUGAGGCCUGCUGGGAACUGUAGCCAUGUUCUGUGCUCAACUAUCUAUGGGCAGCAAAGUGUGGAUGGACAGCAUAGAGGGUCUCUUAUUCCCCCUCUCACACCCAGCUGGCAUGGCUACCCCUCUGUGUCCUGGCAGAGUCACCCCUUUGUUUUCCAUCCCCCCAACACUCUGAUGCUAGCCUCUGUGGGUCUACCUGGAAGUUCUUUCUGUGGGAGCAGGGAGGAAUUUGAGGAGCACUACUGUUCUGACUCUACCAGUGCAAAGUUUAGAGUCAGAUAGGUCAGUUUCAAGCUGGCUUUGUUCCAUGUUUGUCUCUUAAGGGAAAGAGUGGUCCCCUGGGGAUUUCCAUGGCUCUGCGGACAGGCAGUGAGUGAGAAAUUCAAUAUCACCUGCAAUCCCAGAGGCUCACUUUCUGUUCUUCCCCUCCUCUUCCGUCUCACAAAAAUGUUGGUGCUCAUUCCUCAGGCUGUGUUUAUGGGAUCAGGAUCAUGUGGGUGGAGAGCUAGCAUACACUUCCUCCUCCCGUCACCCCAAGAAGUGCGGUGUGUCUAGGUUCAGGGGCUACUCAGAGAGAAGCACAUAAUGUCUCUGGUAUUAUUUAUUCUCUGAAUUUUGAACAAUUGUGGUUUUCUGUAAUAGUCUCUGUCUAUUGCAAAGAGAAGUUUCUUUGUUGAAGGGUGAGAAUUAUAGUUACUUGUGGGAAUAAGGAUAAAUAUUUAGAAUGUGGUGAGGGAUUAGUUUUGUUUGGUAAAGUGCUAGCUGUAGGCUCUUCUCCUAGGUCCAUGACCUCACAGGUUUCCCAUUGGUUGGCUAGGUUUCCUGUACUAGGUGUGAUUUUUGUCUUGUUGAGUAGGCCUUAAGUCCGAUGAGAGAGCUGGUGGUUACUGCCAAGAUAGGAGUGCCACUGAUGCACCCUUAGGGUUAUGCCAUUGCUGGCCAUUAUUGUUGGUUUUAUGCUCAGGGAUUGGUUGGUUUUUGUGCUGAGUUGGUUGGUGUAGAGGGUGUUUCUUUGACUCUGAUUUCAUGGUCAUGAUGUGCUUUUUUCACUGGUCAACCCUUCUCCUCCCCUUUUAACCUUUUGGCUCUGGUCUCAGGGCCAGUGAAUUGGUUCUGGUCUCAGGGUCAGGGUGUGUUUCUUUGGCUCUGGUUUCAGGGCCAAACUGUGUUCUUUUGCUCUGGUUUCAGGGUCAGGGUGUAUUUCUUUGGCUGCCCCUUUUACCCUGCAGGAAACAUUCUGAGAUGCCCUAGGCUUGGCUAUUGAACUCGGCCUUCCUAUCCUAUAGCUUCAAGCCUACCAGCAUGAGUGGCUCUCCAUGCUGAGUUUAGUUCUCAUCAGCCUUUAUCUUCAGGGAGAUCUGAAGGAAGACCCCAACUUCCUGUGCCAGCAAGUUUUCUUUUUUUUUUAUUAUCAUUUUUUAAUUUGAAUUAAAAACAAUAUUGUUUUACAUGACAAUCCCAGUUCCCUUCUCCCUCCCGUCCUCCCCUACUACCCCCCCAACUAAAACCCUACCUAUCACAUAUCCUUUCUUCUGUUCUUCCCCUGACUCAACCUUUCUGCUCCCUCAUGACCUCUGCAUCCUUCCUCUUCUUCCCUUAUCAUUCAUGUAGCUCCCUCCCCCCUCUUCCCGUGCUCUCAAUUUGCUCAGGGGAUCUUGACCCUUUCCUCUUCUCCAAGGGACCAUGUAUGUCUCUCUUAGGGUCCUCCUUGUUUCCUAGCUUCUCUGGCAGUGUGGAUUGUAGGCUGGUAAUCUUUAUGUCUAAAAUCCACAAAUGAGUGAGUAUAUAUUAUGUUUGUCUUUUUGUGAUUCGGUUACCUUGCUCAGAAUGGUUUCUUCUAGUUCUAUCCAUUUUCCUGCAAAUUUCAAGAUUCCAUUGUUUUUUUUUUUUGUCCCCCCCCCCUGAGUAGUUCUCCAUUGUGUACUUUUUCUCGAUCCAUUCUUCGGUUGAGGGGCAUCUAGACUGCUUCCAGUUUCUGGCUAUUACAAAUAGUGCUGCUAUGAACAUCGUUGAACAGGUGUCCUUGUUGUAUGAAUGUGCUUCUUUUGGGUAUAUGCCUAAGAGUCGAAUUGCUGGAUCUUGUGGUAGAGCCAGCAAGUUUUCUAUUGUUGUAACAAAAUAUCCAAGGCUUGGCCCUUUCUAAAGAAAGAGGGUUGGCUAGGCAGUGGUGGGCACACCUUUAACCCCAGCAUGUGGGAGGCAGAGGCAGGCAAUAUCUGUGAGUCCCAGGCUGUCCUGGUCUACAGAGUUAGUUCCAGGAUAGCCAAGGGUACACAAAGAAACCCUGUCUCAAAAAACCAAAAACUAAACCAAAUUACCACCACCACCACCAAAAAACAAACAAACCCCAGACCAAAAACCAACUAUCCAAACAAAAAGGCUCAUUUAGCUCACAGUUCAGGAGGUUCAAGGGGCACGGCUGUUCACCGGCAUCGACUCAGUUCUGGUGAGACUUUAUAGUGGAUGAAUAAUAGCAUGUGAAAGUCACAUGGCGAGACUAGAAGCUGGAGGGUAACCAGUGAGGGCCAGACCUGCUCUUUCAUAACAACCUCUCCUGAAAACAAGUGAGGGUCUCAUGAGAACUUUACCAAUUCCUCCCAAGGGCAACUCCCCACAACCCAAUUAUUUGACACUGAGCCCUGCCUCUUAAAGCACACACUACUUCCCUGACAUUGCCACCCUAGGGACCAAGCUCACAGCACGUGGACCCUGGAGACACACUGACACUGCAAGGGAAUCCUAGCCCUUCCUGAUGCAUGUUAGCUCAUAUGGAGCUGGAACGCCCCAUCUGCUGCAGCUGACCUCCCCAGGUCUCAGUAAUUCCCUCCCGGCCAGCUUGCUUGCCUUUGCACAUGGUGACUUUGGAUUGCUCUUCUUUGCUUGAGACCUGUGUGUUUUCAACACUGUUGUCCAGGGCCAUCCUAGUCUGGCUCCAGGUCAGCUCUGGUCCCAAAUAUUUAAGAACCUAUGAGGUGCCAGGGUUUUGGACUUGGUUAGGGGAAUUCAGAAAAUAUGGAUGGCUGGUCAUUGAAAACAUUUAGCCCAGAGUGAUCUCUCUUCAAACUUGUACUUAAAAUACACACGGAAGUACUGAAAAUGGCCAAAAACCAAUGCAAGAAUGCCCAGGAACAGGGUCAACAAUGGCUAGCUUUGACCAGGGCUCCCAUUAUCUUCAGCAACAAUGAGGGAUCCAGAAGUACAAUUGGGGACAUUUUCAUUGUUAGUGGCUCAGUUGGCCAGAGGUGGAAGAAGCCUUGACUCUAGUCAAGGUUUAAAGAAGUCACUGAGCCCAGCUGAGCAGUCCCUUUCUUCUGGGUGCCUGUCAGUCUGGACUCUUGUCUCCCAUCCUGCUUGCUAUAGAGACAGACAGACAAAAGCUCAGGCAGGUGACACUGCAUGGUAAAAGGUGUAGGACAAUAGUAAGUACACUGCUGCUGGCAGAGCCCAGACAAGCCUGGCUUUGCCUUCCAGGUAGAACUCUGGGUGAAAGAAUGAUCCCCUAAUUCACAGGAAUUCACUUUCCCCAGGAAUGUCAGAAAAAACUGGUUCUCUCAAAUGGAAGGUCACACAAAAGCAAGUGCCUGACACUGGCCAUGGCAUUGGGCCUGGAGAGAGCUGGCUUUGCUUUUAGCUUUAGGUCCCCAGGGGGUACUUUAGGGGACCAGGGGUCAGGGGACAGGCAAAGAAAGUGACCCCAUCCCAUGCUCUCACCCGCAAAGGUCUUCUUUAUGGAGUCAUUUGAAUAGAAACACUGAACCAAUGAAUGUGGUCUGAACUGCACACACUGAUUACAGCUGAAAAUACAAUUUUUGAAAAUGUUAUUUUUAGGAAGAAAUAAACAAUGAUCUAAGGAUUGGCAUUUCAUGCUUUCCAUGAGCUAUAAGGAUAUAUGUAAUUAUUAGGUUUGCUAAGGGUGACAAGAAGGACAAUAGGGUGAGGGACAAGCCCAACUGGAAAGGCCAUCUCUGGUAGAGGGGAAGGCUAUCCAGUUGUUCACUGCCCACAGAGCUUGGUUCUCCAUUUGGCAGUGAGGGAGAACAGAGCUGCUGAAGGAGAGGCAAUCUAGACUUGCUGGAAGCCCCAAGAAAGAGUAAAGGGUGAGGGCUGUAAUGUUAUGGAGGCUGGAGAGAGGAAGUGACGUUUGGAGGCUCAGGCUAGUGUGAGGAAGAAAGUGCAAGUGGGAAGAAGCAAUAAUCAAAGAUACAGUGUUUUCGAGACAGGGUUUCUAUCUUUUGAGACAGGGCUUCUAUCUUUGGAGCCUGUCCUGGAACUCACUCUGUAGACCAGGCUGGUCUGGAACUCACAGAGAUUCAUCUGCCUCUGCUUCCUGAGCACUGGGAUUAAAGAUAUGUGCCACCACUGCCUGGCAAAGACAAAGGAUUUGAAAACUCCCAGACUGAGGGUAAAGAGCUUGGUCCAGAGAGUAACUUCAGUAAAGAUGUGUCAUUUAAGCUGAGGGACUCAACCUUCAGUGGUUAAUUCAGCCAGUGAUUCAGAUGCACAGAGAAGCAGCCAGUCUGAGACUUAGUGUGGAGUUGGACCAUCCUGUCUGCAAAUGCAGUCCAGUCUGAGAGCUAGUGUGCAGCUAAGACCAUCAUGGCAGCAAACUCAGAAGACAAUGGCGCAAGUUCAAAGCUUUCAGAAAGAUCAGUUUUUUUUUAUUUAUUUAUUUUUAAUUUCUUUUACGUGACAACAAAGCCUUUCUGGUGUGUAAGGACUCUGGAAGUAUACCAAGUGUCACAGCACUGUAGAUGAGGGAAGAAUCAAAUACAAGUACCCAGGACCAGAUAUGCCAACUCUUAGCAUCUCCACAGAGUGAAGAAGCUGAUAUCAGAAUGAAGGCUGAAGUCACAGAAUAAACAAGGACCGUGGUGUGCUGCUGUGACAACCCAACCUGAUGGAGGGUUACAGACUGAGACACUGACUUUGGAGCCAAGGGAAUGAAGACAGACAGACUUCCUGCUAGAUUUUCCUCAGAACUCACAGCAAAAUUUAGUGAGAACAUGCAGCCAUGAGCUCUAAAUGAUGCGUGCGGUGUGCCAUUCGUCUCCCAGUGCGAGCAUCACAUACAUCUGAGGACUGCAGCUCAGAGGGGGAAAGCCUACGCUUCCUAGUACUCUUCAAAGCCACAAGUCAAGAGCCAGCUUUGCCUGACAUCCCGGCCCCAUGCAGAGGUUUGGCGCUGGUGCCCCUGAUGUCACUGGUAUGAGGUGCCAAGUUCAGAGUCUGAGGGCAGCGAGUCUGGAUUAUGACUGCUGUCACCUUGCCAGAAGCCUUAGCCCCAGCUGACGACCAGAAUUACCUAAGGACUGGUUUGACAUUCCACGUUAUUGAGUUCAUCCUGGAAGCUUAUAAGACUAUGAACAAUAUAGACCCAGGAUGCCGGAUGGCUGUAAUGAGACUGCUCUGUGUGAUCCUGCUCCUGCUGAAUGGGAUGUCAGUGAGAUUACUGGCUUGCAGAAGGGAACAACGGCAGAAAGGUGACAUGCAGUUUUAUCCCGUGUUCUCCCUGAGGCUGGGUAGACGAUGGUGCUGCUGGUAGUACUGGAAUCAGAUCAGAGGAUUUGGGGGAAGACAAACAUAGUAAGAUCAUUUUGUUUGAGUCAUUAAUACAUCCCUUUGGACACAUACAUCCAGUGUGGAGUAAUCUGCCAGCUCACUGAGUUUUAGGUCUGGUAUUUGGGACCAUGAUCUGUGUGGCUGAUACAGGAGUCAGGACUGUGAAUGCUGCAGACAAGGACGGUCGUAAGCAGUGCGUAUAAACAGCUAGCUCCCUCCCCAUUUGUGUGGGUCUCUCUCCAUUCAGAGAAGAGCCCAUAUAAUUAGCUCUGUCCUACCAGUUCUCUUGGGGAGAAGCUGCUCUGUGCUGGCCCACUUUCUAUAGAUGUGGGUGUGACAUCCAUGGUUGCUACAGGUCAUGUUGUUGGUGCUAGGAUCUGUGAGAUUGAGUCACACUGAAACCAGUGACAAUUGUCUACCCAGAGCAAUAACUCGUAUGUCACACACAUAGAAAAGUCAACCCAUUUAGGAGGUACUCAAAAACUGAUCUAAAAAAGAUGUACAGUAAGGAUAAUGAACUGAGAUUGUUUCCCAACCUGUAAAAAUGCUGGGCAAGUUAAUCUCACCCCAAUAUAUUCCGUGUCCUUAUCUGCAAGGGUAUAAUAGUAAGUGCUUUCUCAGAAAGUUACUCUGAGGGUUACAUGAGCACACUUUUGCAUACAUAUAUAUCUAUAUUUGCAUAUAUGUAUGCUCAUGCACAUAUAAACACAUGAUGCUUGGAAUAACCUCUGACACACACACAACUACUUAAUAGCUAAUUCCUUUUGGUCAAAGUCAUGGGCUGUUUUGUGGCCUGUGAUAAACUGAAACCCAUAUUUGUACUGGAUGGUGACUAGAGCCUCCUGCCACUUUAUCUUUCUUUGUUUUAGAGUCUCUCCCUACCCUCAGUGGAAAGAGGCUUAGUCUGGGAAAGAAACUACUGACUAGUGUUUAUUUUCUUCUGCUUGUAAAAUGAUUGCAAAAUUACUUGCUUUUCCGUGCUCCCAGCUUUGCUGUAGAACAAAACAAGCUUAGUGGAUGAUGCUGCAUCCAUGUAGACUCCCAUCAAGACUGUAAUAGUCCACACUUAGGGCUGAGUUCUCAGUUAAAUAUUUCUCUGGGAAUUUUCCCCACCUUGCUCUGGGUUGCUGUCUUUUUCUGAGAAGCCAGCAUCUAACGUCUUGAUGAAGAAAGAGGUAGAAAGGCCCAGACCUCUGUUCUGAAGAUGGAUGACUACCAGACGGCCACUUGAGACUCUCCCCUUGAAAUGUGAUUGCCAACCUGCCACUCCCGAGACUCUGUGCGCAGAUCUCAGAGAUUUCUGUGAAUCCCAUCAGCAAGGCACCGUGAUACUUAGUACCAGCAAGGUUCCUGGAAACUCCGUCUAGAGCUGGAUGUUAAAGAUAGGUCAUGCAGAUAGGUGAUGAAGACCACAUCACUAGGCACAUGGCCAUCGACAGACUUGGUGUGAAGCCGAGGCCUCGAGGAACCAUGGCAUGGCGUGUGCUGGAAGGAGGCAUGCUGGCAGGUGCAGCAAGCAGUUCAGGGUCCUGGGGCCAGAGAUGGUCAGCAUGAGGUCUUUGGCAUCAGGCGACCGCUGCUGGGGACAUCAACGCCUUGGAGAGGAGAUAAACAAUGAAGUCUGGAGGAUGAUGGAUCACCAAUGUGAGGCAGGCAGUGAGAAACCCAGAGGACCUCUGGCAUCGAAAAGUGACUUUGAUUUAAAUGUGUGAGCACCAAGCAGUACUGGAGCUGGGAGGAACCUUGCCUUUUUGCACUGGUCAGUCCACCACAUCAAGAUUAGGGCUUAGACUGGAAAGCAGUGACAUGCCACGUGUAGAAUCAGAGUUUCUCAGGUAAAUACAUCGUGGGAUUUCUUGGUUAUAUGGCAGUAGUUAGGUUUAAUAUUUAAGACACCUCCACACGGAUUUCUAGAGUUUGCCUGCUGUUUUCUUUCCAGCCAGCAAUGUGUGAGAGUUGCAGGUGCAGCACAGUCCUUGCCAAGGCUUCUGGCGUUCAUCCUCAGGCUUAGCCAUCCCAGCUUCUCUGUAGUAUCCCACUGUGGGCUCGGCUUGCAUCUCCCCAGUGAUUAACACUUUGAGGUCUGCUUCACAGGUACAUUUGCUGUGCUAUAACUGUUGGAUUUUGGAUACAGGAGAGAUGGUUCAGCAGUUAAGAGCAGUGGCUGCUCUUCCAGAGGACCUAGGUUCGAUUUCCAGCACCCAUAUGGUGGCUCACAACCCUCUCUAAAUGCAGUUCCAAGAGAUCUGUAGCCCUCUUCUUGUCUCCUUGGACACUGCAAAUAUGGUACACAGACAUACAUUCAGGCAAAACACCUCUACACAUAAAAAUUGGAUUUCUACGCUUUAUAUUGAGUUGCAGGGGUUCUUUAGACACUUGAACUCUUGGUGAGAAGUGGGAUUUGAGGGCUGGCUAGAUUUUUCAGCAGAGAAGUAUGCUUGUAACCCUAACGACCUGAGCCGGAUUCCUGGGACCCACCUACAGGUGGAAGGAGAGGACCAACUCUACAAAUGUGUCCUCUGACAUCCACUUAUGCCCUGUGGCAUUGUGUCCCCCCAAUACAAAUAUACACAAUAAUAAAAGAAGACAAAAGAAUAUGCUUUGAGGCUAUUCGUUCUUGGUGGUUCUGGUAGUUUGAAAGAAAAUGGCCCCCAAGGGGAGUGACACUAUUAGGAGGUGUGGCCUUGUUGAAGUGGGUGUGGCUGUGUUGGAGGAAGUGUGUCACUGUGGGGGUGGGCUUUGAGGUCUCAUAUGCUCAAGCUUCCCUCAGUGUGACAGUCAGUGGACUUCCUGUCGCCUGCAUGAUGUAGCAUUCUCAGCUCCAGCACCACAUCUGCCUGCAAGCUGCCAUGCUCCCUAUCAUCAUGACAAUGAACUGAACCUCCAAACCUGUAAGUGAGCCCCCUCAAUUGAAAGUCUCCAUUUAUAAGAGUUGCUGUGGUCAUGGUGUCUCUUCAGAGCAGUAAAAAAUCUAACUAAGACAGUGGCCAGCUAGCCUUAAUCUUCACAGUGGAUUUUGAAGAGCAAAGGUUUUAUUUUGAUGACACCCAGCUAACCAAUUGUUUUUCUUUUAGGAUUGUCUGACAGGGUCUUAGUAUAUGGCUCAGGUCUGCUGGGAACUCAGGAUGCUUCUGUCUUAUCCUGCAGUCGCUGAUGACCGCCGGGCAUCUGACUUUCUUUUGGAAUUCUCCUGAAGCAUCUUCUAGAGGCUGUUUUACAGUUAAGUUUAUCCUUAAUUAAUUAAUUAAUUAAUUAAUUAGGUUCCCUGGAUUUGAGACCGGAGCCUUGUGCAUGCUUACACAGUGCUAUAAAGCUGAGCCACACCUGUUUUUAAAAUGAGUACGAGUGUGCUCUAAGAUGACAAAAUGUGCAAUAUAGUCAACAUACAACCAGCGAUGGAGUAGUUUUUAUCAUUGCCAAGUCCUAUGUGAUCUGUAUCACCAUGUUUGGCUGGAAGCUCAGUGUCAUGUGGUAGACUGAGAUGCUUCCAUCCCAGUGACAGUGCACAGGAAUUCUCUUCACCAUCUUGUAGUCUUCUGGGACCACUGUGUGUGCAGGGUAUUGCUGAGGCAACAUGACUGUGCUGUGCAUGGCAGUAUUUUUGUUGUUCACUGGUAAAAUCUAAAGAUUUAGAACAGUUCCUGGCACCCAGAAGAUGCUGAAGGAACAGAUCGGCCAGCAAGUCUCCCCAGAGUGUUUCUGCUCCCUUCCUAUUAGCCUCAGACAGUGUCCCAGCUCCCCUGCUGGUCCCUUGCUUUACUGUCAUUCAUUAUGCUACCUGUGCUGUAAGUGACACAUCACAUUGUCAUUUUUUAUUAAUACUAAUAAAAUCUUAUGCACUGUUACAAUUUUGGAUCCUCUUCAUCCAUUUGAGUGGAUCCAGAUUUCUGUGUUUUUUUUUUUUUUUUUUCUGCCUUAUGAAUUCCCUUAGUGCCUCCCAGAGGGAGGGGAGAUGAGUUCCAGAGAGAAAGGUCGGAUGUUCAGAGAUGAGAUGACGAUGUGGAAAAUAGAGUUGGCAGAAUUAACAACAGGCUGGACAUGACAGGUAGAAAGACUGGUGACACUGAAUAUAUAGAAAUAAUCUAAAACACACCCCCAAGAAGAAAAUAUAAAUAUGGAAUGAACGAAGGGCGAGGGAAUAAAAAUAUUUUUAAGAAAUAAUGACUGAAAAUUUCCCAAUUUGAAUAUAAAUCUGUGUAUUGGAGAAGCUCAACACACACACACACACACACACACACACACACACACACACACAGAGAGAGAGAGAGAGAGAGAGAGAGAGAGAGAGAG
This 19208-nucleotide long non-coding RNA is filed under the name Cricetulus griseus (Chinese hamster). RNAcentral's name for it is "lncRNA (ENSCGRG00015043279.1)". The record is from RNAcentral. Lineage: Eukaryota; Metazoa; Chordata; Mammalia; Rodentia; Cricetidae.